This 1159-nucleotide ribosomal RNA is filed under the name Bacillus sp. (in: firmicutes). Its description in RNAcentral is "bacterial SSU rRNA". It matches the Rfam family "Bacterial small subunit ribosomal RNA", at positions 28 to 1174 of the family's 1533-position model. The record is from RNAcentral. Lineage: Bacteria; Bacillati; Bacillota; Bacilli; Caryophanales; Bacillaceae.
AGCAAAUGGGCGGGGUGCUAUACAUGCAAGUCGAGCGGACCGACGGGAGCUUGCUCCCUUAGGUCAGCGGCGGACGGGUGAGUAACACGUGGGUAACCUGCCUGUAAGACUGGGAUAACUCCGGGAAACCGGGGCUAAUACCGGAUGCUUGAUUGAACCGCAUGGUUCAAUCAUAAAAGGCGGCUUCGGCUGCCGUUUACAGAUGGACCCGCGGCGCAUUAGCUAGUUGGUGAGGUAACGGCUCACCAAGGCGACGAUGCGUAGCCGACCUGAGAGGGUGAUCGGCCACACUGGGACUGAGACACGGCCCAGACUCCUACGGGAGGCAGCAGUAGGGAAUCUUCCGCAAUGGACGAAAGUCUGACGGAGCAACGCCGCGUGAGUGAUGAAGGUUUUCGGAUCGUAAAGCUCUGUUGUUAGGGAAGAACAAGUACCGUUCGAAUAGGGCGGUACCUUGACGGUACCUAACCAGAAAGCCACGGCUAACUACGUGCCAGCAGCCGCGGUAAUACGUAGGUGGCAAGCGUUGUCCGGAAUUAUUGGGCGUAAAGCGCGCGCAGGCGGUUUCUUAAGUCUGAUGUGAAAGCCCCCGGCUCAACCGGGGAGGGUCAUUGGAAACUGGGGAACUUGAGUGCAGAAGAGGAGAGUGGAAAUUCCACGUGUAGCGGUGAAAUGCGUAGAGAUGUGGAGGAACAGCCAGUGGGCGAAGCGACUCUCUGGUCUGUAACUGACGCUGAGCGCGAAAGCGUGGGGAGCGAACAGGAUUAGAUACCCUGGUAGUCCACGCCGUAACGAUGAGUGCUAGUGUUAGAAGGGUUUCCGCCCUUUAGUGCUGCAGCAAACGCAUAAGCACUCCGCCUGGGGGAGUACGGUCCGCAGGACUGAAACUCAAGAAUUGACGGGGCCCGCCACAAGCGGUGGAGCAUGGUGGUUUAAGUCGAAGCACGCCGAAGAACCUAACCAGGUCUUGGACAUCCUCUGACAUCCCUAGAGAAUAGGCUUCCCCCUUCGGGGGGGCAGAGUGGACGUUGUUGCAAUGGUUGUUCGUUCCACCCUCUUCUGGAAUGUUGGAUAGUCCCGCCACGAGCGCCACCUUGAAUCUAGUGCAGCAAUUCAUUGCAGCUUAGGAUAACUGCCGGGUACCACCCUGAAGGUAAGU